CGUAGGGUGCGAGCGUUGUCCGGAUUUAUUGGGCGUAAAGAGCUCGUAGGUGGUUGAUUGCGUCGGAAGUGAAACUUGGGGCUUAACCCUGAGCGUGCUUUCGAUACGGGUUGACUUGAGGAAGGUAGGGGAGAAUGGAAUUCCUGGUGGAGCGGUGGAAUGCGCAGAUAUCAGGAGGAACACCAGUGGCGAAGGCGGUUCUCUGGACCUUUCCUGACGCUGAGGAGCGAAAGCGUGGGGAGCGAACAGGCUU
RNAcentral lists this ribosomal RNA (253 nucleotides) under uncultured bacterium. Its description in RNAcentral is "partial 16S ribosomal RNA". It matches the Rfam family "Bacterial small subunit ribosomal RNA", at positions 526 to 779 of the family's 1533-position model. The record is from RNAcentral.